This 410-nucleotide long non-coding RNA is filed under the name Brassica napus (rape). RNAcentral's name for it is "long non-coding RNA (BNAP_LNC021165)". Lineage: Eukaryota; Viridiplantae; Streptophyta; Magnoliopsida; Brassicales; Brassicaceae. The record is from RNAcentral.
CUCUGAUACCAAAUUGUGACACCCCGAUUUACAUAAUAAAAUGUUACGAUAAAUAAAUAGCCCUGAUACCAAAAUUGUGACACCCAGAUUUACAUAAUAAAAUGUUACGAUAAAUAAAUAGCUCUGAUACCAAAUUGUGACACCCGUCACUUUCGAAAUAUAAUAAAUAGAUUAAAGCGGAAAUAAAAUAAUAAUACAACUCAAAUAAUAAUAAUAAUUUCCACCAUAAUAUAAAAGUCAAUACGAUAGCAUAACGCCAAAAGGCCCGAUAACGAUAACAUCCGAAAUAUAAAAUACGACAUAAACCGAAAGUCUGAAAUAGGAAUAACAUAAACGAUAAAAGUCCAAAGGCCUAAAGACCCGAUAAAGAUAAAAGCGGUAAAAGCGAUAGAAGCCCAAAAGCCCAAUAG